This 189-nucleotide ribosomal RNA is filed under the name uncultured bacterium. RNAcentral describes it as "partial 16S ribosomal RNA". It matches the Rfam family "Bacterial small subunit ribosomal RNA", at positions 470 to 658 of the family's 1533-position model. The record is from RNAcentral.
UCACCGUACUUGAAGAAUGUGCCACCGCUAAUUCCGUGCCAGCACCCGCGGUAAUACGGGAGUGGCAAGCGUUAUCCGGAAUUAUUGGGCGUAAAGCGUCCGCAGGCGGCCCUGUAAGUCUGUCGUUAAAGCGUGCAUCUUAACUCCAUUUAAGCGAUGGAAACUACAAGGCUUGAGUGUGGUAGGGGC